UUGAAACAUCGGUUAUUGUACGAUCACCGAAGUUAAGUAACGUCAAGUCUAGUCAGUACUUAGAAGGGUGACCACUUGGGAAUACCAGGCGCUGUAAG
Molecule: non-coding RNA, 98 nt
Organism: Acanthosepion pharaonis
Lineage: Eukaryota; Metazoa; Mollusca; Cephalopoda; Sepiida; Sepiidae
Source: the annotation of a GenBank genome assembly